Molecule: ribosomal RNA, 121 nt
Organism: Dipodomys ordii (Ord's kangaroo rat)
Lineage: Eukaryota; Metazoa; Chordata; Mammalia; Rodentia; Heteromyidae
Source: Ensembl
CUCUAUGGCCAUACCACCCUGAAUGUACGCCCAAUCUCAUCUGAUCUCAGAAGCUAAGAAAGUUCAGGCCUGAUUAGUACUUGGAUGGGAAACUGCCUGGGAAUAUCUGCUGCUGUGGGAU